Non-coding RNA from Lolium perenne, 1348 nucleotides. The record is from RefSeq and is a predicted model, not a curated record. Lineage: Eukaryota; Viridiplantae; Streptophyta; Magnoliopsida; Poales; Poaceae.
CCCAACUAAUAAUCUAAGAGCCCUCUCGUCGUACAUCCUCUUCGACCUACUCCCCUGUUCCUUCCUUCGUUCGUACCAUCGCCCACCGAUGGGAGCUCCCCUUGCGUUCCGCUGCCGCCCCGAGACGUCGCCUUCCCUUUCGAUCUCCGCCCAGCACGUGCCCGGCCGUACCAUCUAAGCUACGCCCAGUACAAGCUAUGCCCAGAUUAUAAUCGCCUCUCAUCCCCCACCCCAUCGAACCCAACUCCAUAGCCGCCGCAUCACAUUGCCCCCAUGUAUCAGAUCCAGCAUCUAGGAACCUCCAUCGGCCGGCUCUUCGACUCUUCAGGUUGGCUUUCUCGUCCUGUACUCCCACUCUACGGUCAUAGAGGGGACACCAAUGCACACGAAUCUGAAGUAUUUUCCCUUCCACGGGAAGAAUUCAGUGAUACUGUAGCUCGCCAGUCGACGGUUUCAUGCGUCCGGUGACCUCUCUCUCUCCAUGCAUCUUCUAUACAAUCCUCAUGAGUAUUAUCUCAUUGGAUCGUGUAUCUGCCAUCUUAUCAUUUCAUAGCUACAUCUCACAGUUUGAACUUGUUACGUGGUAUAUGCACCAGAAAUAUUUGCAGUCACGGCCAAACUAACCUCUCUGAGUUUCCGAACUGCAUCUGCAUGCACAACUCUGCCAGCGCAAGUCUUCUUAUCUGCUGCACUUGAACAGGUUUUGAAACCUAUAGUGUAUCUUGGGUUAUCAAAACUGAACCUGCCAACUUAUGUGCACUGGAUAUUGGAUGAUCAUUGAGGAAUCAGCAAGUCGAGUGUGGAUGUAAAAGAUAUUGUGUAUCGGCUUAUCUACAUUAAAGAACUAAAAAGACACAAAUGAGAGUGAAGGAAGCGCCUCAGGGGGUGAGGAUGUUGCGACUGGCGAGAGUAUUGGAGGAAAGGUACAGCUUGCCUCCCACAUUCAAACCUCCAGAGGCUGCAUCCACCAAGAAAGUUAAAAGAAUUUUAAUAUAAGCACUUCUCCCAGGCUCCCAAGGUUGCACUUCAGUACUGUGAUGUGCCGUCGAGAGGGGCAAUGGCGAGAGGAUUUGGUCAAAGAGAGAGAAAAGAGAAUGAUAUAGAUGGUGAGAUUGAAUGCAGCUUCCAGUGACGUUGAGAUUAAAAGUCACCGCUGGACUUUGGCGACAUCUUGUCAUCCAAAGCCAAUCCAACGGACAGGAGUUGAGCAAUCAAAAAUUCCCACACCCUUAGUCGUUUCCAGCCUGAAAUUGUAUUUAAUCACAAACCUUGAAUUCACUGAAACUUCCCAAGAAUGCAUAAUGCAAAUUAUAUGAUUUGCUGAAUUUAUUUCAAAAUUUUAUGUGAA